CCCGGGUCUUGUACACACCGCCCGUCACACCAUGGGAGCGGGUUUUACCAGAAGUAGGUAGCUUAACCGCAAGGAGGGCGCUUACCACAGUAGGAUUCGUGACUGGGGUG
This 110-nucleotide ribosomal RNA is filed under the name uncultured bacterium. RNAcentral's name for it is "partial 16S ribosomal RNA". It matches the Rfam family "Bacterial small subunit ribosomal RNA", at positions 1373 to 1482 of the family's 1533-position model. The record is from RNAcentral.